GACGAACGCUGGCGGCGUGCUUAACACAUGCCAGUCGAACGGAAAGGCCCUGCUUUUGUGGGGUGCUCGAGUGGCGAACGGGUGAGUAACACGUAAGUAACCUGCCCUUGACUUUGGGAUAACUUCAGGAAACUGGGGCUAAUACCGGAUAGGAGCUCCUGCUGCAUGGUGGGGGUUGGAAAGUUUCGGCGGUUGGGGAUGGACUCGCGGCUUAUCAGCUUGUUGGUGGGGUAGUGGCUUACCAAGGCUUUGACGGGUAGCCGGCCUGAGAGGGUGACCGGCCACAUUGGGACUGAGAUACGGCCCAGACUCCUACGGGAGGCAGCAGUGGGGAAUAUUGCACAAUGGGCGGAAGCCUGAUGCAGCAACGCCGCGUGCGGGAUGACGGCCUUCGGGUUGUAAACCGCUUUCGCCUGUGACGAAGCGUGAGUGACGGUAAUGGGUAAAGAAGCACCGGCUAACUACGUG
RNAcentral lists this ribosomal RNA (468 nucleotides) under uncultured bacterium. RNAcentral's name for it is "partial 16S ribosomal RNA". It matches the Rfam family "Bacterial small subunit ribosomal RNA", at positions 28 to 507 of the family's 1533-position model. The record is from RNAcentral.